UUUUUUUAGAGUAACCCUAGGACACAAAUACGAAGAGAUGAGGAAAUGGUAGCUCUGACACAGCAAAGAGGCAGAGGAUCAUCAGGAUGGAAGUGAAGGGGGAUCCCAGAAAGAUAACUGUGCUAUCAGUCAAGAACAGCUCUGGAAGAAGCUUCCUCCAGAAGAUGAGGAUAACUGAAGACUUCUAGGUAGCAAUAACAUCAGGUAAGCCAAAAGGUCUGUUUAGGUUUUCCUGUAAACCCAAGCAACCUUUCCAGCUAACUCAAUAUUUUAAAAGGAGAUUUAGACAAUUGGCGUAUAGUAUGGGUUGAGUUAGUGGCUGGUACAGAUAUCAUUAAGUAAAUGAAAGUUUGAAAUGGAAAGAUAAGUAAGAUUUACUAGGUCACAAUAGGGUAGAUAAAUAAUACCUAUCUAAUCAAAAUUACAAUCUAGCUACAUAUUGGGAGGGUUAAAAAUGAAAGUAAGUGUGGCUUUGUGAGCGUGGCUGUCUGAAAGUAAGCGUGGCUUUGCAUGCACGGGAGGCUGAGUGUGACAGAACAAAGGUAGAGGAUGAGCCAAAUGCCAAAUCCUUAUCUUCCAUAAAACUGAAUCCCAAAAACUGAAAAAUGAAUGAAUAGCAAUGCGGGUAUGUUAAUUCGUGAUAUGACAAUAAAUGUUAAAAUAUUAAUAAUCAUCUAAACAAUUGAAAGCAGUUACCUUCGAGGAACAGCAAUACUUGUGGUAAUAAUUUAGUAAAAGAUCUAGCAUUUAAUAUAAUAAACCUAACUAAAAUGAAAUAAUGUUAAAAUUACUCAUCUAGGACGUGCUACAUUUCAGAUCUUGUUUUAGGUGCUGUACUCACUUUUUCCUCCAGCAUAAUCUUGUGGGGCUGCUGCUGCUAAGUCGCUUCAGUCAUGUCCGACCCUGUGUGACCCCAGAGACGGCAGCCCACCAGGCUCCUCUGUCCCUGGGAUUCUCCAGGCAAGAAUACUGGAGUGGGUUGCCAUUGCCUUCUCCCAAUCUUGUGCUGUGCCUGAGCUUACUUACGAAAAUUAUCUCCAUUCUACAUGAAAUGAGUAGAUGAGAUAUUCAAGGACACACUCAUUAAAGAAAAUGGCAGGAAGAGAUCCAUCAGGACCAUCAAACUUUGGGGACAGCUCUGCAACACUGCAUUAUUGAGGAACAGGUUUGC
Molecule: long non-coding RNA, 1171 nt
Organism: Dama dama (fallow deer)
Lineage: Eukaryota; Metazoa; Chordata; Mammalia; Artiodactyla; Cervidae
Exons: 3
Source: RefSeq, a predicted model, not a curated record